This 254-nucleotide ribosomal RNA is filed under the name uncultured bacterium. RNAcentral describes it as "partial 16S ribosomal RNA". It matches the Rfam family "Bacterial small subunit ribosomal RNA", at positions 524 to 777 of the family's 1533-position model. The record is from RNAcentral.
UACGUAGGUGACCAGCGUUGUCCGGAUUUACUGGGCGUAAAGAGCGCGCAGGCGGUCGUUCAAGUCGAGUGUGAAAGCCCCCGGCUCAACUGGGGAGGGUCACUCGAUACUGAUCGACUUGAAGGCAGGAGAGGGAAGCGGAAUUCCCGGUGUAGUGGUGAAAUGCGUAGAUAUCGGGAGGAACACCAGUGGCGAAGGCGACUACCUGGCCUGUUCUUGACGCUGAGGCGCGAAAGCGUGGGGAGCGAACGAGG